CUCUCAGCCCUUGAAUUUGCACCAAUAUGCCCCCACUUUGACCCAUGCUUUCAUAUUUCUGCCAAUUACCCCCUUUUCUUAGCGUUUUGUUCUCUUCGAGCUUCCUUACUUGGCAAUUCGCUGUAGCACUGUCCAACACUUGUCAGCUCUAUUUACUCUCUUUGUUUCGGUUGAUUCAGAUUUUAACAAGCUUAUCAAUAAGAUCUUUAUAUAUAUAAAACAUUAUUAUUAUAAAAAUGAAUUUAUUUAAAUUUCAACUUCAGACUCAAUUGUUUAUAGUAAGGAGAAUUUUCAAGACUAAUUAAAAUAACUACUGAAGCCAUAAUUUGAGAAACGAUUGAACUGAAAUUGAGUUUCUCAAAUGAAAGCAUAGUGAUUUAAACAUGCUAGUAUCUUGCUUUCACACUCUUUACAAUUGUGAAAAAAGAAGUUGAAAGUAUAGAGCAAGCAAAAGCAAAUCCUGUCCAAACCUGGUGAUAGAGUGGUGAGCCUCUGGGCUACCGAUUUUAUAGGGAAGACAAAGUUGAGUAGGAUCGGUUGUGGUAUGGGUCGAUGCAAUGGCUACAAUUCGUACUAAAGGCUAAAGCAAGAAGCAAAGCCACGCUUAGCCCAAAAUCUUCUUCUUCACCUACACUAAACACACACUAGUAAUUAUUUUGUCUUGAGUUGCGUGCUGAUACAUGUAGAAACCAGAAACCAACAACAAAAUCACAAUCCUACCCAUAGUUUCUUCUUUUAUCUGUAGAGACAUGAGAAAGAUAUGAAACCAUGAGAUGCAUGGAGGGCUCACAAAAGAGCAAUCUAUUCGCCCUAAGAAUAGGGUAACUUCCCC
RNAcentral lists this long non-coding RNA (832 nucleotides) under Gossypium barbadense (sea-island cotton). RNAcentral describes it as "long non-coding RNA (GBAR_LNC019843)". The record is from RNAcentral. Lineage: Eukaryota; Viridiplantae; Streptophyta; Magnoliopsida; Malvales; Malvaceae.